GACGAACGCUGGCGGCGUGCUUAACACAUGCAAGUCGAACGGAAAGGCCCUGCUUUUGUGGGGUGCUCGAGUGGCGAACGGGUGAGUAACACGUGAGUAACCUGCCCUUGACUUUGGGAUAACUUCAGGAAACUGGGGCUAAUACCGGAUAGGAGCUCCUGCUGCAUGGUGGGGGUUGGAAAGUUUCGGCGGUUGGGGAUGGACUCGCGGCUUAUCAGCUUGUUGGUGAGGUAGUGGCUUACCAAGGCUUUGACGGGUAGCCGGCCUGAGAGGGUGACCGGCCACAUUGGGACUGAGAUACGGCCCAGACUCCUACGGGAGGCAGCAGUGGGGAAUAUUGCACAAUGGGCGGAAGCCUGAUGCAGCAACGCCGCGUGCGGGAUGACGGCCUUCGGGUUGUAAACCGCUUUCGCCUGUGACGAAGCGUGAGUGACAGUAAUGGGUAAAGAAGCACCGGCUAACUACGUG
RNAcentral lists this ribosomal RNA (468 nucleotides) under uncultured bacterium. RNAcentral describes it as "partial 16S ribosomal RNA". It matches the Rfam family "Bacterial small subunit ribosomal RNA", at positions 28 to 507 of the family's 1533-position model. The record is from RNAcentral.